Long non-coding RNA from Balaenoptera ricei (Rice's whale), 2855 nucleotides. RefSeq lists it as uncharacterized. NCBI's taxonomy places the organism in Eukaryota, Metazoa, Chordata, Mammalia, Artiodactyla, Balaenopteridae. The transcript has 4 exons. The record is from RefSeq and is a predicted model, not a curated record.
CCUCCGAGUUUGACUACUCCAAGACUGGCUAUCCGUAAGGGGCUGAUUAGCUGCCCGGGUCGGUGGCGAGGUUCGGCGCAGUCGCUGGCUGUGCAGGGUGACGAUGGUGGUGUCUUUCCGCGAGCUCUUACAGUCUUGUUUAGCCUUCACUCAGUCUGGGGCGUGUGGUACCGCAGGGUCAGUCGCGCAGAUUCAUAUAAUUAAGCCCAAGGAGAGGUCACUAAACUUUUUUGGUGUCUCUCCCUGGGAAGUAACAUGUGUCGUGCAGUUUGGAGAUGUGUACCGCUACGUCUGACAUGCCAGGUGCUGUUUGAGUACAUUUGACGUCUCUGAGCAUUUUGGGGAGAUUUUGGUGAAUGGGCUAUUUUAUCUGAGUGGAUUUUGUGAGCCAUGGUACAAAGUCUGUAGGGCUUUGUGUCCUUGUAGACCUGGAUGUGCAUUUUCUGAGCUUUUGGGCAUUAGAGUCACUGGGUGUUAGACCCUAAUGUAGAAGUCUGAACCCCAGAGUGUGAGGCCUCUGAACUGUUGUGAUUCUGGGUCCCAAGGUGUGAUGUCUCUGAGCUGCUUUAGGAAGGGGUUUGUCUAAAGGUGUAAAGUAUCUGAGCCGUUUGGGGUCUGUGUGUCAGUAGUAAAAUCUCUUACCAUUUUGGCUGUGAGGUCUCUGUCCAGGAACUGAGGGAGUUGCAAACCCGGCAGAUAUGAUUCCGAAGCCUGGAACCCGACGUGCUGAUGGUGCGUUGCUGAGGGUGUCACUUGUCUCCUGGAGUCUCAGUAAUCAGGGAAAGUCUCCCUGAAGGAUGACGAAUGAGCAGAGACCUGGAGGAAGUGAGGGAGCACGCCAUGGGAUUACCUGAAGGAAGAGCAUUCCAGGCAGAAGGAACAGCAGGUGCCACGGUCCUGGCGGGGCAGUCUACUUGGCGUGCUCCUGGAUAUCAAGGAGUCCUGUGAUGCACUGGGUUUGGCACGCCGCACUCAUUGAAAGGUGUCCGGUGCUGCUCUCUGUGUUUGUCCCACAAUCUGUGGUCAUCCCCAUUUCACAGAUGAAGGACCCGAGGCUCCAAGAUGUGCCCUGCACCUUCUCUCCUGCUUACACCUGAAAUUACUGAAGAGGGGUGAAACCUUCUAGUCCAUCAUGAGAGACAGAGGGCUUGAGUGUAAGAGCUGCGGGGAGGACACCAUCCACACUGAAUGUCAGCCAACCAGCGGAGAUCAGUUAUAAUAUGGGAAUCAUGCCCCUCAUAACAUUGCUACUCUUGAUGGAGGGCAGGACUUAAGAAUGAGAAAGGAACUGGGGCAAAGGAGAGAGACAGGAAGGGGAAGCUGGAGGACAGUGAGAAAAAAACCCACUGGCUUCAUCAUAUUGCUUGGAUUUGGCCCAGUUCACCUUGAUUAACUGAUUGUACUAAGAUAUAUUCACUUUUCCCCUGUCCCUACCCUUUCUUUCCCUUCCCUGCUCUUCUCUUUUGUGCCUGAGCAGUUCAGUCCUAAAGCCAUUAGGUGUUGCUGGGCAAGGCAAGUAUAUGCGCGUAGGGGCAUCCCAAUUUGGGAGGUCAGAGCCCAAGGCGGUAAGGAGGAUGUCCCUGGGGGUUCUGUGGGGAGGAGGCUAACUGGCUCAGGGAUUCAGGCUUGAGUGAGGUGUGGAAGUCAAGGGCAGGGGAUGGUUCAGCAUAGCACGUGGGGAGGACCUCUUUGUGGAGGAGGGAUGGCUUAUAUGCAUUGGGAUUUGUCAACUCAGUGAAUAUAUAAGGAUGGUGGGAGCCACGUCUGUCACUUUUGGAAGAGGGAAUUUCCAAUAUGGAAAGGAGGUAAACUGGAACAACUUCUGAAGGGUUCUACUGGAACUAAAGGCCUGGGGCAAAAGGAUGCGAACCUUACAAAAGGUGGACUCUGGGUCGGCCAAAAAAUGUUGAAAGUUUGACUUGCUCUCUCCUACAAGCGGAAGAAAGCAAAUAAAAUCAGGUUCUGGGCUGGAGAAAGCUUCAGAUAAACUAGAGGCAAGAAGGGGAAAAAGCUCUGCAGGCUUUUCUUCAACUUGGCGGCUGCUGCUGCUGCUGCAGCCCCAGCCCCUUCCGGCACUCGCGCCCGAGCUCCCCGGCCGCUGUGCGGUACCCUGAUGAGGAAGCUUGAGACACGUAGAGGUUAACGGGUGAAGGACCUUGCCCAAAGUCACCUGGCCGGCAAGAGCUGAGUCAGAUUGCUACCCAGGCCUGAAAGAAACAGAGAGGUGUGGUAUCUGACCCCCGAAUCUGGAAUACACUGCAGUGCCCAGCGUCCUCUGGAUCAAAAGGCAAGUGAGCAUGUCCAUCGGCAUGAAUCAGAUUACCAGGGAUCUGUGUAUGGAUUGAACAUGAUGUCUCCAAAGUGCAUGAAAGACCACGGGGUGUCGUGUCAAUAUGCACACGUCACAGAGAACAGUUCCUGGUCCAUAUCAAGCUCUAUACAUGUGUUUGCUCCUACCGACGUCAGUAUCAGCAUCCUCAUCCUCAUCAUUACGGGAAGUAGCAUAACCAUACUAUAACGAUAAACAGAACAACAGAUAGAAAAGUAUGAAGACAUUACCUCCCCCCAUGUCCUAAUUUUUAAAACUGCAGAGAAAAAGAACUGGAAGGCGGUAGACCACGUAUUAAGUGUUUUUCUCUUGAGUGUGAAAUUCUAGAUAAUGCCCAAAUAACCUUUUAAUGUGCUGUAUCUUCAUUGUUACAUAGCCAGUUUUUCUAUUAUAAUUUUAAAAUAGUUUUUCUGAAGACCUGUUCUCUUAGGUAUCUUGACGUUUCAGGAUUAAAAAAAAUUGUUUUGGUAUCCUUGCAAAGUGAAAACCCAGUCAGCACACUUAAGUGAGCAGUAUGAUCUUUGGU